CUUGGAGUGGGAAUAACAGCUGGAAACAGCUGCUAAUACCGCAUAAUAUAUCUGGGUCGCAUGGCUCUGGAUAUCAAAGAUUUAUCGCUCUGAGAUGGACUCGCGUCUGAUUAGCUAGUUGGUGGGGCAACGGCCCACCAAGGCGACGAUCAGUAGCCGGACUGAGAGGUUGGCCGGCCACAUUGGGACUGAGACACGGCCCAGACUCCUACGGAAGGCAGCAG
RNAcentral lists this ribosomal RNA (224 nucleotides) under uncultured bacterium. RNAcentral's name for it is "partial 16S ribosomal RNA". It matches the Rfam family "Bacterial small subunit ribosomal RNA", at positions 130 to 354 of the family's 1533-position model. The record is from RNAcentral.